This 1173-nucleotide long non-coding RNA is filed under the name Panax ginseng (ginseng). Its description in RNAcentral is "long non-coding RNA (PGIN_LNC008253)". Lineage: Eukaryota; Viridiplantae; Streptophyta; Magnoliopsida; Apiales; Araliaceae. The record is from RNAcentral.
UUGCGGAUUAUGAUUGCCCGAUGGAAGUCCGGGUUUUCGCUAGCCCAUUUUCGUUGUCGGCUAGUAGGUUAGGUGUCAGAGAUUGGGCAUGGGGAUAGAGCCAGAGUAGUAGGGAUGAGGAAAGACCCCAAACGCUAUGCAUUCAACCAAUGGGACUAAAGCCCUUAUAUACUCCAAUAGUUCGCCUAGUGGCUUUAGAUACUCCAAGCCUUGGUCUAGUCCUUGCGAGUCUUAUACCAUAGGCUAAGGAGAUGGACCUAUUGAUAUGUAUUCAACCUACCCGCUUCUCUUAUAGAGCUUACUUGGUCGCCAAUCUCCUGCUCUAUUGACCAGAGAUGACAUGACUCCUUACGCAUGAACUCUGUCGACUAGAGGAGUACCAAUAGAAGACGACCCUAUGCUCUCAUUUAUGGGCUUUCACGAUCAUAAAUAGGGAUUUCUAUCGCUGUAAGGAAUGGGUUCAUGACCCUUCUUCAUCGACCUUAUUCUCCUACUUAUUGGGUUUCUCGGUCUUAAAUAGGUCGAUGACUACGACUGUUUGGCAUACUCCACAACAAGGUGUUGAUCACCUUCGUACUCCGCUUUAUAGCCAUAUAUUUAACCGCCUUCUUAGGGCUAAAGAGUUCGCAAGUGGACCAGGGAUUGACCGGAAACACUAGUACUAUAUGCCUCGACCGCGACUUGCUGUGGUCUUGGGCAUGGGAAUAGAACCAGAAUAGAAAGCUGAACAAAGACCUUUAUUUAUAGGAUUUCUUCCAUGGCUUGCACCUACAUAAGCCAUACUGCCAUAGUCACCCAUAUCCGCAUAUAUGUCACUUCUUGAUCGAAAAUUGAGUGAUGCCGUGCCGUCGGGUUAGUUUCUUUAAUGCUGUAUUCUUUCCAGCUGUUUCAGCUCGUAAAAAGACUGACUUUUUCAUUUAGAUAUAGUAAAAUUUCAUGCUGCCAUUCGAGGGCAAAAGGAUAGAAGCAUGCCGAUGCGCGAAAUAGAUUCCCAGUUCUUUUUUUGGGGGGUCUCUUCUCUUCCGCAUGCGCCUAUAGAACGAAGAGUGUGAACAGUGUGAUUGUAUGCUGCGAAGACCUUUGGCCUACCUGAUCAGGUUGUUAAAAGCCGGACUUUCUUCUAUAUAUAUUCUAAAAGUGUAUCGAAUAGAAAAGUGCAUCUGCUCUUCGAUC